RNAcentral lists this small RNA (1542 nucleotides) under Pongo abelii (Sumatran orangutan). RNAcentral's name for it is "retained intron". Lineage: Eukaryota; Metazoa; Chordata; Mammalia; Primates; Hominidae. The record is from RNAcentral.
CGGGUACCAGCGUUCCUGAGCGCGGCCGAGGUGGAGGAACACCUCUGCAGCUCCAGCCUCCUCAUCCCGCCUCUAGAGACGGCCCUGGCCAACUUCUCCAGCGGUCCCGAAGGAGGGGUCAUGCAGCCCGUGCGCACCGUGGUGCCGGUGACCAAGCACAGGGGUGCUGCAGAGGAUGCCCUGACCACCAAGUUGGUCACCUUCUACGAGGACCGCGGCAUCACCUCGGUCGUCCCCUCCCACCAGGCUACUGUGCUACUCUUUGAGCCCAGCAAUGGCACCCUGCUGGCGGUCAUGGAUGGAAAUGUCAUAACUGCAAAGAGAACAGCUGCAGUUUCUGCCAUUGCCACCAAGUUUCUGAAACCCCCCAGCAGUGAAGUGCUGUGCAUCCUUGGGGCUGGGGUCCAGGCCUACAGCCAUUAUGAGAUCUUCACAGAGCAGUUCUCCUUUAAGGAGGUGAGGAUAUGGAACCGCACCAAAGCAAAUGCAGAGAAGUUUGCAGACACAGUGCAAGGAGAGGUACGGGUCUGUUCUUCGGUCCAGGAGGCUGUGGCAGGUGCAGAUGUGAUCAUCACAGUCACCCUGGCGACAGAGCCCAUUUUGUUUGGUGAAUGGGUGAAGCCAGGGGCUCACAUCAAUGCUGUCGGAGCCAGCAGACCUGACUGGAGAGAACUGGAUGAUGAGCUCAUGAAGGAAGCUGUGCUGUACGUGGAUUCCCAGGAGGCUGCCCUGAAGGAGUCUGGAGAUGUCCUGCUGUCAGGGGUGAGGCUCUUCUGACCCCAGUCAGGGCUGCCACCAGGUGGCCUCACCUGGAUCCCAGGGUUUCAUUAACUUCCCUUCCAGUUUGGUCUGCUCGAGACCUCAGCCACCCCACCUCCUUGUAGGGGAAGGAGCUCCUAAACAUUUUGCAACCGAGACCUCAGCCACCCCACCUUCUUGUAGGGGAAGGAGCUCCUAAACAUUUUGCAACCCUCUUUAAUUCCAUUCCAGAAAAAUAUGGGCAUUAUGGGUGGUGACAUAUGUGUUCCUGGAAGGAGAAGCUCAAUGGAUUUUAUUUUUUUGCUGGGCUGUCCUAUAAAGCAGUGAGAUUGGAAGCUUCUUGCAGCCUGGAAACCUUCCCAAUGUGUUGCCCACCUUCUGGCCUCAUUUUACGGUUAUAAUCAGCAUAAAACAAGAAGGGAGCUGCUGGCAUGCAUGUUCAGAUAAGAGCAUGUCUAUUUCCUCACCGACACAAUGAUCUCGGCAGGACAGCUCCCUGAGCACCAACUCGAAUCUCUGUGUUUAUGGUAUCACAAAAGCAAAUGCCACCCCAAAAGGAUUUUGGGGCCAGCCUCCUCCCUAAUAUCAUUCAGUGUACAAAGGAUCUCUCUUUUCUUUUUUUUUUUAAAUCAAAUUUAUCUCUUAUCCAGUUCAGGAAUUCCCUGGGCUGGCUUCAAAAGCCAACCCUGAACAGACUUUAGCUUCAUGCCUGGGUCAGCGUAUGUUUGUUUCCUAGGCCGAGAUCUUUGCUGAGCUGGGAGAAGUGAUUAAGGGAGUGAAGCC